CACUGGGUGACUGAAGAGGUAAGUGUAGGCCUUUUAAUCCUAUAAUGGCGCUUCCAACCGCCCCUAGUGA
Molecule: transfer RNA, 70 nt
Filed under: Palaemon serenus
Lineage: Eukaryota; Metazoa; Arthropoda; Malacostraca; Decapoda; Palaemonidae
Description: tRNA-Lys
Rfam family: tRNA
About the family: Transfer RNA (tRNA) molecules are approximately 80 nucleotides in length.
Source: RNAcentral